GUUAUGUUUUUUGUGAACGUUUAUCGUGAGUAAUUUAGUAAAUUCACCGGCAGUGUUCGGUGGGAAUGCUAGUCACAUGCUAGUCACAUGCUAAUGUAAAAAGCUGGUUUUUGAUAUAAAUAUGAACUUGAUUGAACAAAACAUGCAUGUAUUGUAUAACAUAAUGUCCUAGGCGUGUCAUCUGAUGAAGAUCAUCAAAGGUUAGUGCUGCAUUUAGCUGUGGUUUGGGUUUAUGUGACAUUAUAUGCUAGCUUGAAAAAUGGGUGUCUGAUUAUUUCUGGCUGGGUACUCUUUCGUUGUAAAGCCUUUUUGAAAUCGGACAGUGUGGUUGGAUUAAGCAUGUCCCAGUUUAGGUCACCUAGCAGCACGAGCUCUGAAGAUAGAGGGGAGCAAUCAAUUCACAUAUGGUGUCCAGAGCACAGCUGGAGGCAGAUGGUGGUCUAUAGCAAGUGGCAGCGGUGAGAGACAUGUUUCUGGAAAGGUGGAUUUUUAAAAGUAGAAGCUUGAAUUGUUUGGGUUGGCAGUGUGUGCUAAAGCAGUGAAAAAAACAAACUUAGGGAGGAGGCUUCUAAUGUUAACAUGCAUGAAACCAAGGCUUUUAUGGUUACAGAAGGCAACAAAUGAGAGCACCUGGGGAGUAGGAGUGGAGCUAGGCACUGCAGGGCCUGGAUUAACUGCUACAUCACCAGAGGAACAGAGGAGGAGUAGGAUAAGGGUACGGCUAAAGGCUAACAGAACUGGUCGUCUAGUACGUUCGGAACAGAGAGUAAAAGGAGCAGGUUUCUGGGCGCGAUAUAAUAGGUUCAAGGCAUAAUGUACAGACAAAGGUAUAGUAGGAUGUGAGUUCAUUGGAGGUAAACCUAGGCAUUGAGUAAUGAUGAGAGCGAUAUUGUCUCUAGAGACGUUUAAAUCAGGUGAUGUCACUGCAUAUGUGGGAGGGGGAACUAAAUGGUUGGUUAAGGCAUAUUCAGCAGUGCUAGAGGCUCUACAGUGAAAUACUAACCAGGACAGUAAUGGACAAGGCAUAUUGAUAUUAGGGAGAGGCAUGCGUAGCCGAGUGAUCAUAGGGUUCCAGUGAGUGGUUGGGCUGGCUGGAGACACGGCGAUUCAGACAGCUAGCAGGCCGGGG
RNAcentral lists this long non-coding RNA (1129 nucleotides) under Salmo salar (Atlantic salmon). RNAcentral's name for it is "lncRNA (ENSSSAG00000104849.1, ENSSSAG00020074598.1)". The record is from RNAcentral. Lineage: Eukaryota; Metazoa; Chordata; Actinopteri; Salmoniformes; Salmonidae.